UAUAUGGUCAAGAAGAGAAGCGCAAACGGUGGAUGCCUUGGCAGUAAGAGGCGAAGAAGGACGUGGAAUCCUGCGAAAAGCUAUGGGGAGCUGGAAACGAGCGUUGAGCCAUAGAUGUCCGAAUGGGGGAACCCGGCUGCAGCGAUGCGGUCAUUUGCAUUUGAAUACAUAGGAUGCAAAGGCGAACUCGGGGAACUGAAACAUCUAAGUACCCGAAGGAAAAGAAAUCAAGAGAGAUUCUCCAAGUAGCGGCGAGCGAACGGGGAGGAGCCUGGCGUGAUUUA
This 284-nucleotide ribosomal RNA is filed under the name Legionella pneumophila str. Leg01/53. RNAcentral describes it as "partial 23S ribosomal RNA". It matches the Rfam family "Bacterial large subunit ribosomal RNA", at positions 1 to 281 of the family's 2925-position model. Lineage: Bacteria; Pseudomonadati; Pseudomonadota; Gammaproteobacteria; Legionellales; Legionellaceae. The record is from RNAcentral.